Molecule: ribosomal RNA, 436 nt
Filed under: uncultured bacterium
Lineage: Bacteria
Description: bacterial SSU rRNA
Rfam family: Bacterial small subunit ribosomal RNA
Source: RNAcentral
CCUANGGGGGGCAGCAACUGGGAAUCGUGCGCAAUGGACGAAAGUCUGACGCCGCGACGCCGCGUGAGGGAUGAAGGCCUUCGGGUCGUAAACCUCUUUUACUAAAAAGCACUGCUUUUUAGAGAAUAAGCACCCGCAAACUCUGUGCCAGCAGCUGCGGUAAUACAGAGGGUGCAAGCGUUAUCCGGAUUUACUGGGCGUAAAGCGUUUCGUAGGCGUCUUGGUAAGUUGUACCUUAAAGACCGGGGCUCAACCUCGGGAGUGGGUACAAUACUACCAGGAUGGAAGAUCUUCGGGGCUACUGGAACUCACGGUGUAGGGGUGAAAUCCGUUGAUAUCGUGAGGAACACCGAGGGCGAAGGCGGGUAGCUAGGAGAUUCUUAACGCUGAGGAACGACAGCUAGGGGAGCGAAAGGGAUUAGAUACCCUANUANUC